RNAcentral lists this ribosomal RNA (600 nucleotides) under Bacillus thuringiensis. RNAcentral describes it as "bacterial SSU rRNA". It matches the Rfam family "Bacterial small subunit ribosomal RNA", at positions 76 to 661 of the family's 1533-position model. Lineage: Bacteria; Bacillati; Bacillota; Bacilli; Caryophanales; Bacillaceae. The record is from RNAcentral.
GAGCUUGCUCCCGGAUGUUAGCGGCGGACGGGUGAGUAACACGUGGGUAACCUGCCUGUAAGACUGGGAUAACUCCGGGAAACCGGAGCUAAUACCGGAUAGUUCCUUGAACCGCAUGGUUCAAGGAUGAAAGACGGUUUCGGCUGUCACUUACAGAUGGACCCGCGGCGCAUUAGCUAGUUGGUGAGGUAACGGCUCACCAAGGCGACGAUGCGUAGCCGACCUGAGAGGGUGAUCGGCCACACUGGGACUGAGACACGGCCCAGACUCCUACGGGAGGCAGCAGUAGGGAAUCUUCCGCAAUGGACGAAAGUCUGACGGAGCAACGCCGCGUGAGUGAUGAAGGUUUUCGGAUCGUAAAGCUCUGUUGUUAGGGAAGAACAAGUGCAAGAGUAACUGGUUGCACCUUGACGGUACCUAACCAGAAAGCCACGGCUAACUACGUGCCAGCAGCCGCGGUAAUACGUAGGUGGCAAGCGUUGUCCGGAAUUAUUGGGCGUAAAGGGCUCGCAGGCGGUUUCUUAAGUCUGAUGUGAAAGCCCCCGGCUCAACCGGGGAGGGUCAUUGGAAACUGUGAAACUUGAGUGCAGAAGAGGAGAG